This 497-nucleotide ribosomal RNA is filed under the name uncultured bacterium. Its description in RNAcentral is "partial 16S ribosomal RNA". It matches the Rfam family "Bacterial small subunit ribosomal RNA", at positions 28 to 507 of the family's 1533-position model. The record is from RNAcentral.
GAUGAACGCUGGCGGCGUGCCUAAUACAUGCAAGUCGAGCGAACGGACGAGAAUGUUGCUUCUCUGAUGUUAGCGGCGGACGUGUGAGGAAAACGUGGAUAACCUACCUAUAGGACUGGGAUAGCUUCGGGAAACCGGUGCUAGUACCGGAUAAUAUUUUGAACGGCAGGGUUCAAAAGUGAAAGACGGUCUUGCUGGCACUUAUAGAUGGAUCCGCGCUGCAUUAGCUAGUUGGUAAGGUAACGGCUUACGAAGGCAACGAUGCAUAGCCGACCUGAGAGGGUGAUCGGCCACACUGGAACUGAGACACGGUCCAGACUCCUACGGGAGGCAGCAGUAGGGACUCUUCCGCAAUGGGCGAAAGACUGACGGAGCAACGCCGCGUGAGUGAUGAAGGUCUUCGGAUCGUAAAACUCUGUUAUUAGGGAGGAACAUAUGUGUAAGUAACUGUGCACAUCUUGACGGUACCUAAUCAGAAAGCCACGGCUAACUACGUG